GAUGUGCAGGUGCAGAAGCGGGAGAUGGAGGCUUCCAGGCGGGUAACGUUAGAAUGUGGUGACAGCGGUUAAAAACGGAACAUAAUAAGUUUACCACUGCAUUUAUAAUGCAAAGUAGAAUGGAGACUUUCACUUGCUGAAAGUUGAUUAAAUCUGUGCAAGGCGCCUCAUAAAGCCACUUGGCAUAUCCGAAACCGAAUGAAAUGAUAAGCAGCCGGAGUGCAACAGAUUACCAGUCAGAAACUCCUGGUGGAAUUCCGGACCCUUUACCACGAGCGCCUUCGACGCAUUGACCAAUCAUAUCACAGCCGGGAGGAGGCUCUGCAGAGCAAGGUGGGUGUGCUGCAGUCGUUUGUGCGGGACCUGAGUGAGCAGAAUGAGGUUCUGAUCCAGGCGCUGGAGGCUGAGGAGGCGGAGGGCCGGGCAGUGGAGGGGAGAACAGUCAGCCUUCACAAAGAGCUGGAGCGGCGCCGAUCCUUGGCUCUGUGCCUGAUGCCAGUGGACCUCGUGGGAACCACGGCAACGUUUUUCCGGUCCCCCUGCUGUUGAGACGUUGGCACAGUCCCUCAGGUCCUUUCUUCCUCCCUCCUCUCUUGUGGCUGGCAGGCAGGCAGGCGAUUGGCAGAAUGGCAGGGUCUGCGGCAUGGAGGCAGGCAGCAGUGCCCAUGGUAGACAUUCCUCAUCGCAGUGGCUGCCGGCCGGAUUGAUGAGAGCUGGAUGAAAAUGGUGUGUUAGAGGAGGAGGAGGGGGGUGGGGGGGUUGGCACAAAAACAGGCACCAGCUUCACACCCUCCCCUCCCCACAGAACAGCUUGAUUUGUUUUGUCUUGUUUUUCCCCUCUUUGUUUUGUUUGUAAUCUUUCCCGUUCCUUUCAUUUCGUCCGUCGCGCUAAUUAACAGAGCAAACUUUUGUUGUUCUAAUUGGUCAUUUGAAGCACUUGAUGGUCUUUGUUUGCACUUGGCUUUCUUCAUAUUUGCCAAGCAACCCGCGACGGAUGCCCAAUCGUGUUGAUUUGCUCUUGAUCGUUGUGUACCAUCUCUCGCCCCCUUCCAUUUUUCCGCGACAGAUGCCACCGCGUUCCCGCUGGUACACCUCUCGAAGAUCGUGGGUAUCGAAUCACCGCGCUCCUCGGGCAUCCUCAGAAGCGGUGACUUUCCCGCAAAUCCGUAAACGCCACCUUCCAUAUGAAAAAGACAUGGUGCCUUUUCAUCUCCUGUGUUUUCCUAGGGUGCGCCGCGACUGUCGAUGAGCAGGUUGGCAUGGCGUACGCUGCCUGGCUGGUUGCCUGGCACAGGGGUUGUGCUUGAGAAGGGAGAGCGAGAGAGAGAGAGAGAGAGAGAGAGAGGGGGGCGCUUCUUUUUGUCCCACCCCUCAGUCGUCUCUAGGACAACACCACAAGCUGCAAGUUUCUCUGUGUUGGUUGUUCUCGAAUUUCGACUUACCCCACCAGUCCCUUGUGGCAGAGCCCAUUUCCUUCAUCUCCCCUUGUCCCUGGCUCCUUCGCCAUCCCCCUAGCAUCCUGCGCUGUGGGCCACCUAUCAUCUUUUGUUUUUUGUUUUCAAACCGAUACCUCCUCCCCCCACUCCUUGCCACCAUGCUAUGCCAAGCGCUCCAUCACAACCCCCAAGGUGUCCCCUGAAAUUCCUCCAGGUGCACCGCUCUUCUCUUCCCAUCGUCAGAAGGCUCCUUUCUUCUGUAAUCUGGGGCAGCAGAUGUUCUCCUCUUCUCCUCUGCGGUGGCAUUGACUUGACAUUGAGCCUUGUCUCCAGAACCCCAUCCGCAUCCGCACUCAAACUUCUACUAUUUGUAAAACACCCACACUCCCCCAAAAAAGUCCCUCCCCUGGCAUGGCACUAGCUGCCAAAUCAGGCGGGGGUCCUUCUGUCUCCCUGUCUACAUCUAGCCACCUACCCCCGAGAGCGAACGCGAGUCCGCCCUGGCGCUACCACUGAAUGGAUGGCACUGUGCCAGCUUCUCUCUGCCAUCAUCUGCAUUCGCUGCUUGUUUCUCUCACUCGCCCGCCCCCUCUCUUCUGUCUCUUCCUCUCUUACCCUCCCCUCGUUCUACUCUCUUAGCCCCACACCCCCGAGCCCCCUUUUGUUCUAUAGGCUUGACAUUAAUUAACAUACGGGUUAAUUGACUCUAAAAGCUGAUGAAUUGCUCUUUAGAUCUCCCAUAGGCUGGCUAGCUGUGUGUCGCGCCCUGCGCCCGCGCCCCCUUCUGCCUGGCACCGCCUGUGCCUCUACCUUGCCCUAGCUAGCCUCCACGUUGGCUAGCGCUAGUAGAGGAGCAGAGAGAUAGCCAGCCCUGCAGCCAGCAGCUCUGGUGUAGUGUAGUGUUAUAGACGUGAGUGAGCAGUGCCCCUACCCCACUGUACGCUGGGAAGGAUCUCAGGCUGCUUAUUGGACUAUAGCUGAUCGCAGUUGACGUUUUGCUGUCUGAUCCCACCGCAGGAUGUUGCAAUGGCAUUUUGUUAUAAAUAAUCAAAGUCCUCCUGCAACCACCUCCCACCCCUUUUUCUAUCUACCCUUCUCCUCCCCUUUUCACCCUCCCUCUCUCUCUCCACCCUCUCUGUCCCUUUCUCUCUUUCUCUCUCUAAACUAACACACUUUCACACCAGCAGAUACCAACUCUCCUGUCCUGUCUUGCCUUUCCACUCUUUUCUAUGACCAUCUGUUUAGCCUUUUACCAUUUUUAUUAAAGAACUUCUAGGAUUAAAUGGAUAACGAAUCAAAGUUGUAAAUAAAUUGCCAUGUUUUUGGUCAUUUUUCUAAUAGCGCUCCUU
Molecule: long non-coding RNA, 2785 nt
Organism: Oncorhynchus tshawytscha (Chinook salmon)
Lineage: Eukaryota; Metazoa; Chordata; Actinopteri; Salmoniformes; Salmonidae
Exons: 5
Source: RefSeq, a predicted model, not a curated record